UGCUUCGUAGUUGAAAAACAAUAUUAAAUUGCAAAUUUAAAGGUGUGGGAUUACCGAGGCAU
Molecule: transfer RNA, 62 nt
Filed under: Pseudorimula sp. RSIO35641
Lineage: Eukaryota; Metazoa; Mollusca; Gastropoda; Lepetellida; Lepetodrilidae
Description: tRNA-Cys
Source: RNAcentral